Non-coding RNA from Caenorhabditis elegans, 21 nucleotides. NCBI's taxonomy places the organism in Eukaryota, Metazoa, Nematoda, Chromadorea, Rhabditida, Rhabditidae. The record is from Ensembl.
UAUUUGAGAUUAUUUAUCUUU